Oryzias melastigma (Indian medaka) is the source of this 918-nucleotide long non-coding RNA. RefSeq lists it as uncharacterized. The record is from RefSeq and is a predicted model, not a curated record. Lineage: Eukaryota; Metazoa; Chordata; Actinopteri; Beloniformes; Adrianichthyidae. The transcript is spliced from 2 exons.
GUGACUGUUCUCUCUCCUUCUCCUUAGAUCUGUUUGGAGACGUGGCGCGUGGGGGGGAUCCCGACCGGCUGCGCGUCAACAGGUAGGUCGGUGCAGCCACUUUUUCUGCAAGGAGCGAAACACUUCCUCAUCCACCUGCGCACUGUGAGUAACUGUCAGCAUGUCGGCCAUCUGCCGAAUCGCUUUUUUCCUCUAUUGUGGAGUGUUUGGAGUCGGCCUACGUAAUCUUUUUCUGAUUCUGAGACCUUCCUCUGUACUAUCUUCACGUGUGAAGUCUGCUACAAGUGUGCAUGCAAGUGUGAAACCCAACAUGCCCCGACUGCUUCGCUGUGCGCUCUUUUCUCAUUCUUCCCGUUUGGUGAGUGUGCACGGCCCACUUCCUAAGUUUGUGUGUCUGUGUUUAUAAUCCAAGGCCAUUCAAUAGCACCACGUGGAUCCAUCCCAUAUCCUGGUUGUCAUGGCUACAGAGGCCACUUAUCACAGAGGGUCCAGCUAGAUCAAACAGGUGUGCAUCCUGACUAUUUCUCUCCCCGACAACUGUUGCUAGGAACCUUUGUGGCACACAAUGCACAGGUGCUUGUCACCGCCGGGGAAAAUCAGCGGGAGCGCAAAAACAGCGCCUAGAUUUCCCAGUGUGAACGGGUGUGUGCGUUUACGCGUGAGGUUUUCCGCUUGAAGUCCUUCUGAGAAACAGUGUGAGGUCUUCUUCUUCUUCUGAGAGGAUCUUUUUUGUGAGAUAAAAGAUAAUCUCGGGGGUCAUCUCCACUUCUGGGGGAGAUGUUCAGCCUGGAAAAUGAAGUAAAUAUUUGUGUUUUAAACAUUUUGGCUCUUUCAGUUUUCUUUUUCCAGCAAACGGACAACAACGUAGAAAUAUCGGGUUUAGUGAAUGACCACACCUUGGUGCUUUGUACAAAAAAA